AAAGCUCGCAAGCAGAAUUCCCUACAGACGCAUCCCAACCACUGCUGAGGUUACAACGUAGAGAACCUAAGUAUUAACAUGUGGUCGAGGCUCAACCUGCGCACCGGGAUCCUGCUGACUGCCCUGUUCCUCAUGGCGAUCUACGCUCCUGCUGCUGCCACGCCCACCCCUGGCCAAGACUGCUGCCCCUACCACUCCUGGUGUUGUGUGCAGACGACAACGCUCGAUCCCUGCGCCCUGAGGUUCCCCGACUGUCAGAGAUAUCCUUAUGACGAAUGCUGUCGGCGAUAUGGGUGAGGGUUGGCGGUUGGUUGAAUAUGACUGAUGUAGGCCAAGGGGCCAAUAAAUAGAAAAUGCUAA
Molecule: long non-coding RNA, 360 nt
Organism: Penaeus chinensis
Lineage: Eukaryota; Metazoa; Arthropoda; Malacostraca; Decapoda; Penaeidae
Exons: 3
Source: RefSeq, a predicted model, not a curated record